AUUUGGCAUCCGCGUGGUGUCAUCAAAGCAUUAACCAGACCUUUAGAACCCUAAUUGACUCAUCCUAGCCAUUAGAAAGUAGUGAGAUAACUGACUUCGGUUCCGACUGGGGUUGGUUGAGACUCGAUACUACACUCUUUGAGAUUGGACUUUAGGGAAGCUUUGGUCAACCACUUGGCGUUGCACUGAAGUGGACUUAAAGAA
Molecule: long non-coding RNA, 204 nt
Filed under: Lathyrus oleraceus (garden pea)
Lineage: Eukaryota; Viridiplantae; Streptophyta; Magnoliopsida; Fabales; Fabaceae
Description: Pisum sativum (pea) long non-coding RNA (PSAT_LNC041617)
Source: RNAcentral